CCUACGGGGGGCAGCAGUGGGGCAAAAAACGGGUGCUUUCUGAGAUGUUUGGGGUUAGCGGCCAGAAUAUGUCCAUGGAAGACAUGAAAUGGAUCGCGGACUGGCACUUUGUCCAUGGUAUCAACCUGGUGAACCCCCAUUUGUCCCUGUACAGUUUCCGGGGUUGUCGCAAACGGGAUUAUCCGCCGAACAUUUUCUUCCAGCAGCCAUACUGGCCCGAUAUGCGAGGUCUAUCCGAUUAUCUGUCGCGAACUUCCUAUGUGUUAUCCUGUGGUCGGCGGGUAACGGAGGUGCGCCUGCUGCGCCCCAUAGG
Molecule: ribosomal RNA, 313 nt
Filed under: uncultured organism
Description: partial 16S ribosomal RNA
Source: RNAcentral